GACGAACCGUGCAAACGUUGUUCGGAAUCACUGGGCGUAAAGCGCACGUAGGCGGAUCUUUAAGUCAGGGGUGAAAUCCUGGAGCUCAACUCCAGAACUGCCUUCGAUACUGGAGAGCUCGAGUCCGGGAGAGGUGAGUGGAACUGCGAGUGUAGAGGUGAAAUUCGUAGAUAUUCGCAAGAACACCAGUGGCGAAGGCGGCUCACUGGCCCGGUACUGACGCUGAGGUGCGAAAGCGUGGGGAGCAAACAGG
RNAcentral lists this ribosomal RNA (253 nucleotides) under uncultured bacterium. Its description in RNAcentral is "partial 16S ribosomal RNA". It matches the Rfam family "Bacterial small subunit ribosomal RNA", at positions 524 to 776 of the family's 1533-position model. The record is from RNAcentral.